Long non-coding RNA from Bos grunniens (domestic yak), 2883 nucleotides. The record is from Ensembl. Lineage: Eukaryota; Metazoa; Chordata; Mammalia; Artiodactyla; Bovidae.
GGCCGGGUGAAGGAGGCCGGUGGACCCAAGCUGGCACCGCUCAGCCAGUUGCCUGUCCUUUCUGGAAGCCUGACUUGGCUGCUGCCUAGGCGUGCCAAUGGACUCCCCUCCUGACCGUCAUCCCGACCAUCGUCAAAAAUUAAACAAAAUCACUUUUUCGGGACUGCCUGACCGCGUCUCUGGGAGCCCUCACUUGGCGGGACUGCGCCAGUCAGAAAGAGAAGCCUAUGAGUGCAUCCAGGAAUUUCUAGAACAAGGGCAGCUGCUCGAGAUGGACAAGCUGAAGUUCCUGAGUGCAGUGGACACCUUGAGUGGUGCUGUCCACGCCCAGGCAAAUGGCAACAUGGACGAUUUCUUUCCGAAAACUGUCUUGGCCGAGAAAAUCACGAAAUUAAUUCUCGAAGAGUCCACAGAGGCCCUGGUCAGCACUGUGCGGCAGCAAGCCAUGCUCUGCGUCGUGGCCCUGAGGUGCCUGGCUGGCCCAUGGGAGUGGGGCGCCCGGGAGCGGUCUACAAUCCAGGCCUUGGACGACAUGUUACAGGCUCUCAUGAUGGAGGAUCUGGAGCCGAGCAUGGUCUUCCUGCAGAGCUUCCUGGAGGUCGUCCUGCCUUGCUUGGUGCAGUCGGAUAAAGUGCACGAGCAGACCCGGAUCUUGGGCGCCAUUUCCCGGAUCCUGAGGUUUAUCUGCAAUUUCCCCGAGCUGGCGCACACGGCGGAGUUCUCCAUGACUGGGAAGCUGAUGGGCACGCUGGGCCUCCUCUGCAUGAGCCCCAACCUGGAGGUCGGCAUGGCGGCCUCGGAAGCGCUGCACUACCUGUUCAAAGUCCUCGCGCUGCAGAGAAGUGAGGCGCGGAGGCCACGGGCGGACUCAGAGGGGCUCAGCCCGGCUCCCUCUUCCCAGUUCUUCAGGAAGUACCUGACUCCCGAGGAGCGAGCAGACGUGAUGCUGGUGUCGUUGGAGGCCCUGACCAAGCCCAGCAGGCACGACGCCCGGGCGGCCUCCAGGGUGCUGCGGACAAUCCUGAAGUCCUCCGUCCCUGACAUCGGGAAGGUGCCUGAAAUCAUCAAGCACGUUUACCACCACAUGCCCAGCGCCACGGACGCCACGGCCCAGGAGACCAUCCGGAAGGUGCUCCACGUGCUGGCCCAGACCUACACGGAUGAGGUGGUCCUGACGCUCUUCGAGAUGGACGAGCAGUCCCAGAGGGGGGCUCGCAAGCCCUGGGAGAUCCUGGCGUCCUUCCCCAAAGGCUACGAAGUGAUCAUGGAGCACCUCCUGCAGAGGCUGACCCCCCAGGCUGCGGCUGACAAUCCCCCUGCCCCGCAGGCCACCAGGGCCCUCCACGAGCUGCUGCUGGAGCCCAGCCGGAGGAUGGAGGUGCAGGCCUUCUUCCCGCACCUGUUCCUGGCCCUGCUGUUCCGCAUCUCCUCCCUCCUGGGGGUGGGGGCCGCCCAGCCCCCUGUGAGCCAGGGGAUGGACCCCGUCAGCUGCUCCGUGGAGGCGCUGAAGACCUUGAUGAGGAGCGCAGGGUACAGCGACCACGUGUCCUACAUUCAGAAGCUGCAGGGCUGGGAGCUGCUCACCAGUCUGGAGAGACACCAUGAGGGGGUGGCCCUGCUGGGCAGGGCCAUGGUCGUCCGCAGCUGCUGGCACACCCGCCCUGUGUUCCGCCUCACCGUCCGCGUCCUCCAGGACCCGGACCUCGAGAACCACAUGACGGCUCUUGUGUUCUUCACCGAGCUGCUGCAGUGCCCAGACGUGGCGGCUGCUGCCGACGACGAGAUGGUCAGGACCCUGGCCAACUGGUUCCAGGCUAGGGAAAGAGCCCCUGCUGCUCUCACCGUCCUGGGAAAGAAGGGGAGGUUUCCCACAAGGGCCCCGGGUCGCCAACCUGCUGGGUCUCCUGGACAGCUCCGUGCCCUGCAGCCCUACGUGCUCAGCUGCUGCUACUCUGUGGACGGCAGCAUCGUAGCGGAGACCUUCCAGGUGCUCAGGGACCUGGUGGACCAGCUGCCCUGGCAGCACUCGGCCGCCUUCCUCAUCCAGCUUGCGUUCACCCUCGCACCCUUCCUGGAGGAGGAGUCCGAGCAUCUGCGCCUGACAGCCUUUGAGAUCUACGGGGCUCUCCUGGCCAAGGUUAGCAGGAGGGUCUUUGUCUUCCCCUUGAGGCACCAGGUCCUCAACCUGCUCAUCCUGCUCGUACUCCACCUGGAGGAUGCGAACGGCAGAAUAGAAGGGUACAGGAACAGGCUGAUCUCACUGUCACCUGUCUCCGCCCGCAUGCCCUCGGGGUCUUGGCCCGGCCUGCACCCUGACUCCUCCGGCUGGGCUUCCCUGUCUCUCCAGAUCGCCAGGCCCACACUCUGCCACCUGGCCACCUUGCUGGGCUGGUCAAAGCUCAGGGCGACUUUCGCUGAGAAAGACAUAUGGACCAUCCUCAGUGCCCUGCUGCAGCAGGAGGUGGGCCGAGCCCUCUGGUUCCUGAAGCAGAGCGUACAACUCUUCAGGAGCCCGCAGGUCCCCAUCCGUCGGGCUGCCGUGUGGUUCGCAGGCCAGAUCAUCCAGACCCUGGGCGCUGAGGAGGCCAGGGAGAUGGACGAGGUCCACGCAGCCCUGAGGCACAUGCGGGCAGACCUGGACCCCACGGUCAGCUGCCUCGCCACGCAGACCUCCUACAUCCUGGAGGCCAAGGAAAAGACGUGGGUCACCAGCUCCACCUCCUGCUUCUGCCCCAGGAGGCUGCGGAAGGCCUACUUCUGAGCCUGCGGCUCAUCAGACGAGACUGCGGCAGUGGAGACCAUGGCCUGGCUUCUGAGCCCUGCUCUAGACGAGGGGUGUCCCUGCAGAGCUUCUGUAAUAAAAGGAGAAAGCGGAGACUUCCA